AAGUUCCGUAGGUGAACCUGCGGAAGGAUCAUUAACACGUAUCCAAACGUGAAACCCCCCUGUGAACCUUCAGUGUACUCGUACGUCCGUUAGAAAAAGCAGAAUCCAUCGCCGAACAGUUUUCGAUUCAGGGACGUCUGCAAGGAGCGUGCAUGUUGUGCGAAGCAAGUGGCCUGGCAUCCCCAAGCAGUUAGUGUCUGAAAGUGUCAUUAACUGUGUAAGGAUGACGCAGUCACGAUCGUUGGAGGCCCACACGGCCGACGACCGGGUCACUGGGCGCAAGCCCCCCUAUAACAAACGCUGCUAAUCGCGGCCGCGAUAAUACGCAGUCGACCAAAAACCGAACAACUGUUAACAAUGGAUAUCUUGGUUCUC
This 375-nucleotide unclassified non-coding RNA is filed under the name fungal sp. RNAcentral's name for it is "partial internal transcribed spacer region". The record is from RNAcentral. Lineage: Eukaryota; Fungi.